UCUCACAGCAAUAAAUUGACACUAGAAAAAGGAUACUAAGCCCAUUUUAAGAAUGGUGCAGAGGAAAGCCCACAACUUUAUUGCCUCUCACCAAUAGUCUAUCUGCUGUAGCUAGAAUAGCGCUGCUCACAGGUCCAUCGUAGUGCAAUCUCCUGUUACAAUGGAUUUGCAACUCUUCGAUGCCCUGGCUUAAUAGAUCCA
This 201-nucleotide long non-coding RNA is filed under the name Elaeis guineensis (African oil palm). RNAcentral describes it as "long non-coding RNA (EGUI_LNC066088)". The record is from RNAcentral. Lineage: Eukaryota; Viridiplantae; Streptophyta; Magnoliopsida; Arecales; Arecaceae.